UACGAGAGACCCGAACGUUAUUCGGAAUUACUGGGCUUACAGAGUUCGUAGGCGGCUCAGAAAGUUGGGUGUGAAAUCCCUCGGCUCAACCGAGGAAUUGCGCUCAAAACUACUGAGCUUGAGGGGUAUAGAGGUAAGCGGAACUGAUGGUGGAGCGGUGAAAUGCGUUGAUAUCAUCAGGAACACCGGUGGCGAAGGCGGCUUACUGGGUACCUCCUGACGCUGAGGAACGAAAGCUAGGGGAGCGAACGGG
This 253-nucleotide ribosomal RNA is filed under the name uncultured bacterium. RNAcentral's name for it is "partial 16S ribosomal RNA". It matches the Rfam family "Bacterial small subunit ribosomal RNA", at positions 524 to 776 of the family's 1533-position model. RNAcentral also lists the same sequence under 1 other name. The record is from RNAcentral.